UAGGGAAUCUUCGGCAAUGGGCGAAAGCCUGACCGAGCAACGCCGCGUGAGCGAUGAAGGCCUUCGGGUCGUAAAGCUCUGUUGUUAGAGAAGAACAAGUACGAGAGUAACUGCUCGUACCUUGACGGUACCUAACCAGAAAGCCACGGCUAACUACGUGCCAGCAGCCGCGGUAAUACGUAGGUGGCAAGCGUUAUCCGGAAUUAUUGGGCGUAAAGCGCGCGCAGGCGGUCUCUUAAGUCUGAUGUGAAAGCCCACGGCUCAACCGUGGAGGGUCAUUGGAAACUGGGAGACUUGAGUGCAGGAGAGAAAAGUGGAAUUCCACGUGUAGCGGUGAAAUGCGUAGAGAUGUGGAGGAACACCAGUGGCGAAGGCGGCUUUUGGUCCUGUAACUGACGCUGAGGCGCGAAAGCGUGGGGAGCAAACAGGAUUAGAUACCCUGGUAGUCCACGCCGUAAACGAUGAGUGCUAGGUGUU
Molecule: ribosomal RNA, 477 nt
Filed under: uncultured Bacillota bacterium
Lineage: Bacteria; Bacillati; Bacillota
Description: bacterial SSU rRNA
Rfam family: Bacterial small subunit ribosomal RNA
Source: RNAcentral